GGGCUUGUGGUUUAGUGGUAUAAUACUCCCUUAGCAUGGGAGUGGUCCGGGUAAGCAUAGCAAACACCAAGAACCACUAAACAUCAGCUAAUUAUCCAUCCAGGGUUCGAUUCCCCGCGAGUCCA
Non-coding RNA from Hyaloscypha bicolor E, 125 nucleotides. NCBI's taxonomy places the organism in Eukaryota, Fungi, Ascomycota, Leotiomycetes, Helotiales, Hyaloscyphaceae. The record is from the annotation of a RefSeq genome assembly.